Salvia miltiorrhiza (redroot sage) is the source of this 1549-nucleotide long non-coding RNA. RefSeq lists it as uncharacterized. NCBI's taxonomy places the organism in Eukaryota, Viridiplantae, Streptophyta, Magnoliopsida, Lamiales, Lamiaceae. The transcript is spliced from 2 exons. The record is from RefSeq and is a predicted model, not a curated record.
UCCACGUCCCCACUCUUCUCCUAUAAGAGUCCUCAGCAGAUACUCAAGAGCUACACCAAGCCAAACUCCAGAUUUUCUUCACAAAAUUCCCUACAGCCUCAUCACAAUUUCAUUUACAUCUACAAAUCUAUUGCCCUCAAAAGAGUCAAAACAACUCAAAAUCCCAGCUUCUUACCAAGAGUAGCAGGCGACGGUUCGUAGCUCAAAAUCACAUCCCUGCAAAAUUUACUUCAUAACAGAACUCCUCAUCAAGGUCCACUUGAGAGAAGGAAUUAGCUUUGCUUUUACAAGAAGAGAAUUGUACAUCUUUUAUCUACAAGCUUGUUCUAUCGAGGUGGGUUUUUAUUUUCCAAUGUAUGUUUUGAGUUAUUAAGCUCUACUUGUUUUAUGCAAAUGCAAAUGAAUGUCCAUGUUAAAAUGUUUUUAUCUCUCUAUUGUUUAAAGUGCUCCUAUGUUCUCUAACGAUCGGGUCUUAGCCGGCGUAGCGAUUGGAUCGCUCUGGUUAGGAUUGUGUACACACAAGGGGGUAUUGUGGGCUGCUCCCACUUGCCUCAGACUGUCAGACUUGGGCUGCUCCCAUUUCUGAAACAUGCAUGGUAGUGGACCUCUGUGGGCUGCUCCCACAUGUUCACAUUAUAGGUGAAGCACCAGUAGAGAGAAGACCGAAAAUGGAUCCACAAUUUAUUUUAAGUAUGCAUGGAAUGCUUUCUAAUAUUUCUAUGUUAUAUUGUUCAUAGCAUGGAUUAUUCUUUUAAAUGGAUUUUCAAAUGUUUUCAAAUGGCUAAACCCACUGAGUAUAUUAGUACUCAGCCCUGCAAUUGUUUUCAAAACCUUUUGCAGGUUGAGCGGCAGGUGGUGACGUGCGAGGUUGAAGGAGGAUGUUGCUGUAGUUUCAUAUAAUAAUUUCUGCUGCCAUAAUAUUCACUAAGGUGGAUAUCUUUUGAGAUUGACUCUUUAAAUAUUCUUAGCCUAAUUAUUAUGAACUCUUUUGGCAAUCGCAUUUCUAGCAACUGAACCUCGCAUAUAUGUAUGUCUAGUAUGAAGUGUUAUCUUGUUGUCUCAGACCUCCGAACUUUUGAUCCUGGUUGGGAGAAUUUCUAUUUUAAUUGCCGUAUUUAUUAUCCUUCAAUUGCGACAUUCCUUUAAUAUGAAUGUGUUACCCAAAUCUAAGAACAUAUCAACUAUUAUAUUCAAGCAAAGUCUAGAAAUCCCAUUAAGUAGCACAUUUCCUUUUCUCCCGGGAGCCGGGCUGUUACAGGUGGUAUCAGAGCCGAACCUCUCCCAGUACGGUGUGGUUCGGGGACGAACCAAGCGGAAGCUGGUGGGCCUGUGACGCCCGGGGACGAAGUGCGGAGUGAUCGCCGGUGCAAAAGAGGCACGGACAAGGAGCGGCUCCGGUUAAGACUUCCAAGCGGAGGGGCGCAGGGAUGAACCGAAACACACCCGAACGAGAGGGAUUCCAAGAAUAUGCAGGUAUGGGACUGCAUAUUCGAGGAGAGCUUAAGUGAUUUGAUAGGUGCUACUCAUAUCAACAAGAUGCAUCUUCUUU